UAGCCUAAUGGUUAAGGCUAUGGAUCGCCAAUCCGUAGACGGCGGGUUCGAUUCCCGU
This is a non-coding RNA of Aedes albopictus (Asian tiger mosquito), 58 nucleotides long. Lineage: Eukaryota; Metazoa; Arthropoda; Insecta; Diptera; Culicidae. The record is from Rfam.